GUAGGUGGCAAGCGUUGUCCGGAAUUAUUGGGCGUAAAGCGCGCGCAGGCGGUCCUUUAAGUCUGAUGUGAAAGCCCACGGCUCAACCGUGGAGGGUCAUUGGAAACUGGGGGACUUGUGUACAGAAGAGGAAAGCGGAAUUCCAAGUGUAGCGGUGAAAUGCGUAGAGAUUUGGAGGAACACCAGUGGCGAAGGCGGCUUUCUGGUCUGUAACUGACGCUGAGGCGCGAAAGCGUGGGGAGCAAACAGGGAUUAGAUACCCUGGUAGUCCACGCCGUAAACGAUGAGUGCUAAGUGUUAGGGGGUUUCCCGCCCCCUUAGUGCUGCAGCUAACGCAUUAAGCACUCCGCCUGGGGAUACGGCCGCAAGGCUG
RNAcentral lists this ribosomal RNA (373 nucleotides) under uncultured organism. Its description in RNAcentral is "partial 16S ribosomal RNA". It matches the Rfam family "Bacterial small subunit ribosomal RNA", at positions 527 to 896 of the family's 1533-position model. The record is from RNAcentral.